RNAcentral lists this ribosomal RNA (749 nucleotides) under Ampithoe sectimanus. Its description in RNAcentral is "bacterial SSU rRNA". It matches the Rfam family "Eukaryotic small subunit ribosomal RNA", at positions 1300 to 1831 of the family's 1831-position model. The record is from RNAcentral. Lineage: Eukaryota; Metazoa; Arthropoda; Malacostraca; Amphipoda; Ampithoidae.
GGUGGAGCGAUCUGUCUGGUUAAUUCCGAUAACGAACGAGACUCUCCCCUGCUAACUAGUCGGUUGGAUCUUGAUACUUCUUGAGUAAUGCUGACCCCGGUGGUGUCGUCUCAUGGUUGUGCGCGGAAGGGAAGGUCGCUUGUGCGUUGGUGGCCUCGUGUCGCUGCGUGCUUGUGUCUCUUUGCCUCUCCCGUACUCCUGAGCGCCCUCGGGUAAUGCACACUCCAAGUCCGCCGCUUUUGCUGUAAGUCUUCUUAGAGGGAUACACGGCUCUGAAGCCGUAAGAGACUGAGAGCAAUAACAGGUCUGUGAUGCCCUUAGAUGCUCUGGGCCGCACGCGCGCUACAAUGCCGGGCACAGCAGGUGUUUGUCCUUCUCCGAGAGGAGCGGGCAACCCUCUGAAAGCCCUUCUCUCUCAUGGUAUUUGUCGAGUCGUCGCUCUUGCGUCCUUCUGGGCGUGAGUUGUGGCGGUUCGCUUGGCGUGCUUGGGCCUGGAGCUUGCAAUUUUUCUCCACAAACGAGGAAUGCCUAGUAGCGGUGGGUCACUGAGCCCACCGUGACUCAGUCCCUGCCCUUUGUACACACCGCCCGUCGCUACUACCGAUUGGGUGUACCAGUGAGAGCCUUGGACUGGCGGCCGUUGCCCUUCGGGUAAGCGGUUUCGACUGAAAGAGGUUCGAACUGGUGCACUUAGAGGAAGUAAAAGUCGUAACAAGGUUUCCGUAGGUGAACCUGCGGAAGGAUCAUUA